AAAUCAUUUCUGCAAGCAACUGUCUGUGGACGGGAUGGCCCCCUUUACUCCCCACCCCCAACAUUUCCAACACAGUGAAAUGAGUUAGAAGGAGCUGUAAAAACUUCAAAGAACAGUCAGUGCCGUAAAAGGCCAAUCGAGCGGUGUAGACAGAUGGUCCCUUGCAGACGGAGCACUGGACCCUUCCAGGAGCUCCGCGUGAGAUGGUGGCGUGGAAACGCUGGAGACAAGCACUCUUCAGCUCCUCUGAUGUGUGCAUUUCUGUUGGAAGCAACCAGGCUGUGUGCCAAUGGAGAUGAGCCUACACCUGGCUGAGAGGGCCUGUAGCAGCAUGACUUGUGCACUGCUACAUGAUUAAUCUUCCAUGUUAGAAUUUCUAAAGAAAUUUGGAAGAAGAGGCACAUUCUGUGUGGAGCAAAGGAGGUUUUUGGGAUGAUGGAGCUAGAGGUCAACAUAUGGAGUAGCCUGGAAUCCAUCCCUGCGUGGAGCAGAAGACGGGAACAACCCUAGAAGGUGGAAGAAUCACUUAGGCAGACAGAGGAAAGGGCACCUGAGUCAAGCCGGGGAGAAGGAUCCACAGGUUCAAACCAAAGCAGAAAAAGUCCUCUUUGAAGCAACAGCUUUUCUCUCCAGCCUCAUUUCCUCCCUGUUUGCCCCAACUCCCAGGUCCCUGUGCUUCUGCCAGAUCAGACACUUUCUUCUUGGUACACACCAUGUCCUUUCAGCAUUUUAAGACUUCUGCACAUUCUUUUUCCUGGGCCUCCAUGGUCUUCCUCAUUCUCUACUUGCCAAGCACCCUUUGAGAUAUGAUGACUGGAGCUCCAGCAGCCAUCUUGAGAUAAUGAGGAAGAGGAUCACACCCUAGGGAUGGUCAAGUGAAAGCCAAAAGGAACCUGGGACCCAGAUGAUUGCCAACCUCUGGCUCUCUUUUA
Long non-coding RNA from Rhinopithecus roxellana (golden snub-nosed monkey), 932 nucleotides. RefSeq lists it as uncharacterized. The record is from RefSeq and is a predicted model, not a curated record. The transcript has 5 exons. Lineage: Eukaryota; Metazoa; Chordata; Mammalia; Primates; Cercopithecidae.